GUGAGGAAUAUUGGUCAAUGGGCGGGAGCCUGAACCAGCCAAGUCGCGUGAAGGAAGAGGGAUCUAUGGUUCGUAAACUUCUUUUGCAGGGGAAUAAAGUGCAGGACGUGUCCUGUUUUGUAUGUACCCUGAGAAUAAGGAUCGGCUAACUCCGUGCCAGCAGCCGCGGUAAUACGGAGGAUCCGAGCGUUAUCCGGAUUUAUUGGGUUUAAAGGGUGCGUAGGUGGUUUGAUAAGUCAGCGGUGAAAGUUUGCAGCUUAACCGUAAAAAUGCCGUUGAAACUGUCGGACUUGAGUGUAAAUGAGGUAGGCGGAAUGCGUGGUGUAGCGGUGAAAUGCAUAGAUAUCACGCAGAACUCCGAUUGCGAAGGCAGCUUACUAAGCUACAACUGACACUGAAGCACGAAAGCGUGGGGAUCAAACAGGAUUAGAUACCCGGGUAGUCC
This 445-nucleotide ribosomal RNA is filed under the name uncultured bacterium. Its description in RNAcentral is "partial 16S ribosomal RNA". It matches the Rfam family "Bacterial small subunit ribosomal RNA", at positions 354 to 796 of the family's 1533-position model. The record is from RNAcentral.